This 344-nucleotide unclassified non-coding RNA is filed under the name soil metagenome. RNAcentral's name for it is "partial contains 5.8S ribosomal RNA, internal transcribed spacer 2, and large subunit ribosomal RNA". The stretch from base 5 to 119 matches the Rfam family "5.8S ribosomal RNA", at positions 40 to 154 of the family's 154-position model. The record is from RNAcentral.
GAUGAGAACGUAGCGAAAUGCGAUACGUAAUGUGAAUUGCAGAAUUCAGUGAAUCAUCGAGUCUUUGAACGCACAUUGCGCCCCCUGGUAUUCCGGGGGGCAUGCCUGUCCGAGCGUCAUUGCUGCCCUCAAGCACGGCUUGUGUGUUGGGCCUCCGUCCUCCUCCCGGGGGACGGGCCCGAAAGGCAGCGGCGGCACCGCGUCCGGUCCUCGAGCGUAUGGGGCUUCGUCACCCGCUCUUGCAGGCCCGGCCGGCGCUUGCCGACACAUCAAUCUUUUUUCCAGGUUGACCUCGGAUCAGGUAGGGAUACCCGCUGAACUUAAGCAUAUCAAUAAGCGGAGGA